AUAAAUAAGAGGAAGAUGAUGAUGAUGAAUAAGGAGGCAGCGGAAGGGGAGGAGAAGUGGGUGCUUUUAGCAGAGCUAGUUUCAACUUGAUACUCUUAUUCAUCAAAUUUCAACAUUAUCAUUUCGUCAAACACAUGAAGGCCAAUAGCUGCUUCUGAUUCAUUCCCAUCACUUCCACUAUGUUGGAUCUUAACCUCUCCGUCUCUUCUCUCCACAACCACAACCUUCUACAACUUUCUUCCACCCAUAUGGAAGCUUCUGCUAGCUUCAGUUCCUCUUCCAACGCCGCCGACAACCACUACUCCUGCUCCAACGCCCAACCUUUCGCCUACGCUUUCAGCAUUUUAACUAACGAACCUGUCAAAUCCAUUCACGAUGACGAUAACGCUGCCGACCCUACCAUCCAGCUUUUUCCCCCGCUCGACGGCCACUCUUCCGAUUCCAUGACUCCGCAGUUGAUGGAUCUCAGGUCCAGGGAGAUGGUGCCUCAGGUGCAGCAGAGGCCACAGGUCAAGAAGAGUAGGCGUGGGCCCAGGUCUAGAAGCUCGCAAUAUCGGGGAGUCACGUUUUACCGGAGAACUGGCAGAUGGGAAUCUCAUAUUUGGGAUUGUGGGAAACAGGUGUACUUGGGGGGAUUUGAUACUGCACAUGCUGCAGCUAGGGCAUAUGAUCGAGCAGCGAUCAAGUUCCGUGGGAUUGAUGCUGAUAUCAACUUUAAUGUGAGUGACUAUGAAGAGGAUAUUAAACAGAUGAGCAAUUUUACAAAAGAAGAAUUUGUGCAUAUCCUGCGUCGCCAAAGCACUGGAUUCUCAAGAGGAAGCUCAAAAUAUAGAGGAGUAACUCUACAUAAAUGUGGGCGAUGGGAAGCUCGUAUGGGCCAGUUUCUUGGCAAGAAGUAUAUAUAUCUUGGCCUAUUCGACAGUGAGAUUGAAGCUGCAAGGGCUUAUGACAAGGCUGCCAUAAAGUGCAAUGCAAGAGAAGCAGUUACCAACUUUGAACCUAGCACAUAUGAAGGCGAAGUAAUGAUGGAGGCCAAUAAUGGAGAUGGCAACCAAAAUCUCGACCUAAACUUGGGAAUUGCUCCCCCUGAUUUAUCUGAUGGUCAAAAGAUAAACAGAGACACGGAUGGUUUCCAUAUUCAGAAUUGCUGGGAUGGCAGGUCUAUUGGCAAGGGACCAAUGGUGAUUCUAAACUCUGCUUCUGCAAAAUUAAAGGAUGAACCGCCACAUGACCCUGCAAUGGCAUCUCAUCACCCUCCUUUAUGGGGUGGCUUAGAUUCCAAUAUCUUUCCCCUAUAUAAGGAAAGAGCAAUGGAGAAGUGGGUGGAAGUAGAUUCACUGCCAAAUUGGAUGUGGCAAACCCAAGGGGCAAAUCCACUGUCUCUCUUCUCCACUGCAGCAUCAUCAGGAUUCGCAUCUUCAACAAUUACUGCACCUGCAGCAACUGUUAGUCAACUUCACUUUCCAAAUUCAACAAUUCUCUACCACCAAAUUUCUCCUUCUGUCGCCAACCCCAGCAACGUCUCUCAUUUCUAUUGUAGGAGCUGAAAGAUUAACAUAGCCACAGUCCAAAAACCUUUUCUUCGGUAUAGAAAAGAGAUGGGUGGGCAGAGAAUGAAAAAGCCAAGAAUGGGUUUUGAUUCUCAUCUUAUUUCCCGAUAGAAAAUCAAUUAGAAAUCAAGAGAUUUUUUUGGGUUCACUCAUAGUAUAAUGGCGACACGACUCCUUCAACAAUGAAUUAAAUAAAUUUCAUCAGCAGAAAGCAAGAGUCAGAACCUUAUAAAACUAAGCAUGUUCCUUCAACCCAUGAAAGGUUUUUUUUUCUUCCCCAAGUGUAAAAGUGUAAGAGAUGAAUGUUUAUUAGAACGACAAGGCUUCCAAGUCCAAACAU
Hevea brasiliensis (rubber tree) is the source of this 1890-nucleotide RNA transcript. It is a transcript of the gene named APETALA2-like protein 3, with no coding region annotated. The transcript is spliced from 11 exons. The record is from RefSeq and is a predicted model, not a curated record. NCBI's taxonomy places the organism in Eukaryota, Viridiplantae, Streptophyta, Magnoliopsida, Malpighiales, Euphorbiaceae.